Long non-coding RNA from Glycine soja, 976 nucleotides. RefSeq lists it as uncharacterized. The record is from RefSeq and is a predicted model, not a curated record. The transcript is spliced from 2 exons. NCBI's taxonomy places the organism in Eukaryota, Viridiplantae, Streptophyta, Magnoliopsida, Fabales, Fabaceae.
UUUCCCUUACCAUAGUGUGGCCUACUUGUUGUUUUCUUAAUGAGAAUGAGAAAGAAUUCCACUGUGCAUUGUGCACUUUGGCGCUUCUGUGUUCCAUUGUUGCUGCUUGCCAGCUUCAGUUAUGCUCCUUCUGUUUUGGCGACAGCUGAAAUUUCAGGGAAGGAGAUGAACAUUGACGGGAAGUUUUUAGAGGAAGAAUUAUCAGAAUCAAGUCUAAAAGGAUAAGAUGAAGAAGCCAAAUUUAAAGGAUUUUUUCCAAAGCUAAUUCCAAUUGUUAAGCCUAUUACAAAGUCAAUUCCCAUAGUUAAAGCCUAUUCCUAUUCCAGUUUAUAAGUCUAUCCCGAAACCACUUCCCAUUGCUAAGACUAUUCCAAAACUAAUUCCUAUUGUUAAGCCAAUUUCAAAUGAAGAAGAAAAAUUCAAAAGUCUUUUUCCAAAAUCUAUUCCAAUACCAAAGCCUAUUCCAAACUAAUUCUUAUAUUGUUAAGCCAAUACCAAAGCCAAUUCCUAUUGUUAAACCUAUUUAUAUUCCAGUAUACAAGUGGCUACUAAAGCCAAUUCCUAUUAUUAAGCCUCUACCAAGCCAAUUCCAGUUGUUAAGUCAAUUCCUAUUCUUAAAGCUAUACUAAAUUCAAUUUUCAUUGUUAAAUCUCUAUCGAAACCAUUUAUAGUAAAGAAAUCCAACUCUCCUAUUUGAGCCUGAGGAAUUUUUAAAGCCAAAGCCUCUCUUUAAAAAGCAUAUUCCCAAAUUCCGAAAACCAUUUCUACCACCAUUGCCAAUUAACAAACUAAUUACAACUCCAUAAAAUGAUAACUUUCUACCUCCUGAAACUAUAAAGUUAUCCCUUCAAUUUUUAAUGCUUUUAUUUACACAUCUCAUUCUAAAUCCUUUAGUACCCUUCUUGUGUACUGAAUUGGAAUAUCUGUAGUUAAUCUUUUCUCCUCAAUAAACUUUUCAUCAAUAUUAUCGUUUGUA